AAGUGAUGCCAUUUUCCUUCAUGGCUUGUCCUGUCCACUCCUCUGGGCUUUCCAAGCAAGCCAAUCGUGGAUUAGAGCGAGGGCCAAACCUCCAAGUUUUUGUUAAGGUUGGCUGCAGCUCCUCAACCUGUAUUUGCUGUUGUCAAUAGAUGGGUGCAUCGUCACGAUUCAUCAAGGCACAGUAACACUCCAAGCUGCUCCAUGUCCAUCCAGGAAUGCUCUCCACAGCCACAAUUUUAUCUCAAACUCUGAGAAAAAGACACUGACUUACUUUCAGAAACAGCAAGUGGUAGGUCUUGGUUUGGGACGUGACUACAGAUCAAAGAGCACCUAUUGCAAGUAUAUAUCCAUGUAUAUCAACUUGGAAAAUGGAUAACCUCACCAAGAGCUCUGGUCAGCAAGCUGCUAUAAGACAAGAUGCAUGAUUACAGCAUAUCUAAAUUACUGAACAAGACAACAGCGAAAAAAGUCUGUUGAGAUCUUCAAUUCAUCAUCACCCACUGACAGAAAAGCAAUUUCCCCAAAGACUGUUCUGUGGAAAAAUUCAGACAGAAUCAGGCUGAAAACAGGCUAUAUCUUGAUUUUUAGUGCUGAAGAAUUUAAUUUCACUUUUAGAAUUUUUGUCAUGUAGGAUUUUUAGUUGUGUGAUAUAACUCACUUUGGGGUAUGGAAAAUUCACCAAUUGUGCAAUUUUUAGAAAUAAGGUUGUUAUUGUUUUAUAUGGGUGGCAAUAUAGGCUAUGACAAGACAUAAUUCAGGAAGAUUCCAUAUGUUUCCAUAUGGGACCACAUCUCAGUCAUUUUCCCCACCCUACACUAUUUACACCUGUGCAUGCUGUAGACUACAACUGAAAAUGAAUCUGAUGCAAAAACAAAUCCACAAGCUUCAUCCUUCAUAUUUUUCUAACUUUCAAGAAAUGGAAACUGCAACAUUCAAAACAGGUUAUUAGCUGUUUAGUAAGUCUUCCAGUCUACAACUUGAUCGUUUGGAAAUUCAGUUCAAAUUACUAUUGUGUUGAAUGACUGCCCAUGAAGGAAUAGGUAGUAGUAUUCUUAUGGAGAGUUACACUGAGACGAUCUCUUUCUUAGUAAGUAUUAAUUUCAAGUGCUGAUUAUAAAGAACAGUGAUGAAGAAAGAGGAAAACAACUACUCAAGACCACUAGGCAUCUUUUCCCAGAAGAAAUCUGGAAUUUAUCAUUUUUACAUGGACGUAACCAGAGUAAUCUGCAUGAUUUGUAAACCUGGAGGUUAUUUUCACCUCCUGCAUGAGAGUUAGCUAGAAGUAGGGAAUAUUUUUAUGUUUUUAAAUGAACUAAUAUUUCCACAUCUUGAAAUUUUGAUAAAAUAGGGAUCUAAAUGCAGGCCUGAUUUAGUUUUCUCACAGUGACCUUAAUAAGCAUCACACAAAAGAUGUGUAGAUGUGGCACUAGGGACACGGCUGAGUGGUGGACUUUGCAGUGCUGGGUUGGACUCAAUGAUCUUAAAAGUCUUUUCCAACCUAAACGAUGCUAUGAUUCUUUGUUAUUCCCUUGUUUCCUUUUGUAUUUAACUCUUGGUGAACAGAUCCUUAAUACAUUUGCUCCAACAAAGCUUGUCUGGUUGUUGCCAUUACAAAAGUCCACACUCCAGAAGGAAACCAAACCCUUUGGCA
This is a long non-coding RNA of Manacus vitellinus (golden-collared manakin), 1651 nucleotides long. RefSeq lists it as uncharacterized. The record is from RefSeq and is a predicted model, not a curated record. NCBI's taxonomy places the organism in Eukaryota, Metazoa, Chordata, Aves, Passeriformes, Pipridae. The transcript has 3 exons.